GAUGAACGCUGGCGGCGCGCUUAAGACAUGCAAGUCGAACGGAGAUACCCGGUAGAUUUAUCUUCUGGAAUAUCUUAGUGGCGGACGGGUGAGUAACACGUGAGCAACCUGCCUUCAAGAGGGGGAUAACAGAGAGAAAUUUCUGCUAAUACCGCAUAAGACCACAACGUCGAGUGGCGAAGGGGUCAAAGGAGUAAUCCGCUUGAAGAUGGGCUCGCGGCUGAUUAGCUAGUUGGAGUGGUAACGGCACACCAAGGCGACGAUCAGUAGCCGAACUGAGAGGUUGAUCGGCCACAUUGGGACUGAGACACGGCCCAG
RNAcentral lists this ribosomal RNA (318 nucleotides) under uncultured bacterium. RNAcentral's name for it is "bacterial SSU rRNA". It matches the Rfam family "Bacterial small subunit ribosomal RNA", at positions 28 to 334 of the family's 1533-position model. The record is from RNAcentral.